Long non-coding RNA from Capsicum annuum, 670 nucleotides. RefSeq lists it as uncharacterized. The transcript has 4 exons. The record is from RefSeq and is a predicted model, not a curated record. Lineage: Eukaryota; Viridiplantae; Streptophyta; Magnoliopsida; Solanales; Solanaceae.
GUGGGGGGGUGGGGGGAGUUUUUUCUUAAUUCACUGGAAACAUACUUCCAGAAAACAAUAAGGUAGCUACUUUGUUUCUUGUUUCUUUCACUCCUUCGCCUCUUUCCCUCUUUCUUUGUUCCUUUUCUAUUCGUAACAACUGGGGAAAUUAGUCUAAGCAAUUUAAAGAGAUUAAGAAGAUGAUUAUAGCCGGAGAAAGGAUACCCUUGUCCUUACAUAUAUGUUAAAGAAGUUCGAGAAGUUGAUUUGUAAAAUUUGGAGUUGGGAUUGAAUCUCAAAAGUUAGUGAAUCGCGUAGCGGCUAGCCGGAACUAGUGGUUGGAAAGGUAAAGGCUACACUUUCUCGGGUUGAAACUUGAGGCUCGAGAUAUUAUCGUAGUUAAUAAAGCACUAAGUCAGGACAAAGAACACGGGAGGUUGCUACAAGGGCUAAGGGUAAAGCUUCAUCAACAAUUGCUAUAUGGAAAGAAAUAUGCUAUAGUGUAUCAUAUUAGUGGAAGCAGUUAAAGAUUGUGUUAGAGUAGAAUGUAUAUAUCACAUCUCUUGAGGCGCAAUGAGGUUUAAUAUAUGACAAGUAUUGAUAUUAAUUUUUAUUUCUACAAGAUUUUUUAUUGCACAUAAAUACUAACUGAGUGAAAUUUAUAGAUCCUAGGUAAAGUCUCUUGUUAUCA